UACGAAGGGGGCUAGCGUUGCUCGGAAUCACUGGGCGUAAAGGGUGCGUAGGCGGGUCUUUAAGUCAGGGGUGAAAUCCUGGAGCUCAACUCCAGAACUGCCUUUGAUACUGAGGAUCUUGAGUUCGGGAGAGGUGAGUGGAACUGCGAGUGUAGAGGUGAAAUUCGUAGAUAUUCGCAAGAACACCAGUGGCGAAGGCGGCUCACUGGCCCGAUACUGACGCUGAGGCACGAAAGUGUGGGGAUCAAGCAGG
Molecule: ribosomal RNA, 253 nt
Filed under: uncultured bacterium
Lineage: Bacteria
Description: partial 16S ribosomal RNA
Rfam family: Bacterial small subunit ribosomal RNA
Source: RNAcentral